This 784-nucleotide ribosomal RNA is filed under the name uncultured bacterium. Its description in RNAcentral is "bacterial SSU rRNA". It matches the Rfam family "Bacterial small subunit ribosomal RNA", at positions 62 to 827 of the family's 1533-position model. The record is from RNAcentral.
UCGAACGCGAAAGCCCCGCAAGGGGUAAGUAGAGUGGCGAACGGGUGAGUAACACGUGGGUGACCUACCUUCGAGUGGGGGAUAACGUCCCGAAAGGGACGCUAAUACCGCAUAACAUCCUGCUCUUGAACGAGUGGAGAUCAAAGCCGGGGAUCGCAAGACCUGGCGUUUGAAGAGGGGCCCGCGUCUGAUUAGCUAGUUGGUGAGGUAACGGCCCACCAAGGCAACGAUCAGUAUCCGGCCUGAGAGGGCGGACGGACACACUGGGACUGAGACACGGCCCAGACUCCUACGGGAGGCAGCAGUGGGGAAUUGUUCGCAAUGGGCGCAAGCCUGACGACGCAACGCCGCGUGGAGGAUGAAGGUCUUCGGAUUGUAAACUCCUGUUGCCCGGGACGAAAAGUUUCGACCUAACACGUCGAGAUCUGACGGUACCGGGUGAGGAAGCCCCGGCUAACUCUGUGCCAGCAGCCGCGGUAAUACAGAGGGGGCAAGCGUUGUUCGGAAUUACUGGGCGUAAAGGGCGCGUAGGCGGCCUUCUAAGUCGAACGUGAAAUCCCCGGGCUCAACCCGGGAACUGCGUCCGAUACUGGAAGGCUUGAAUCCGGGAGAGGGAUGCGGAAUUCCAGGUGUAGCGGUGAAAUGCGUAGAUAUCUGGAGGAACACCGGUGGCGUAGGCGGCAUCCUGGACCGGUAUUGACGCUGAGGCGCGAAAGCCAGGGGAGCAAACGGGAUUAGAUACCCCGGUAGUCCUGGCCCUAAACGAUGAAUGCUUGGUGUGGCG